UGGGCGUAAAGCGCGCGCAGGCGGUCUUUUAAGUCUGAUGUGAAAGCCCCCGGCUUAACCGGGGAGGGUCAUUGGAAACUGGAAGACUGGAGUGCAGAAGAGGAGAGUGGAAUUCCACGUGUAGCGGUGAAAUGCGUAGAUAUGUGGAGGAACACCAGUGGCGAAGGCGACUCUCUGGUCUGUAACUGACGCUGAGGCGCGAAAGCGUGGGGAGCAAACAGGAUUAGAUACCCUGGUAGUCCACGCCGUAAACGAUGAGUGCUAAGUGUUAGGGGGUUUCCGCCCCUUAGUGCUGCAGCUAACGCAUUAAGCACUCCGCCUGGGGAGUACGACCGCAAGGUUGAAACUCAAAGGAAUUGACGGGGGCCCGCACA
RNAcentral lists this ribosomal RNA (374 nucleotides) under Listeria monocytogenes. Its description in RNAcentral is "bacterial SSU rRNA". It matches the Rfam family "Bacterial small subunit ribosomal RNA", at positions 555 to 927 of the family's 1533-position model. The record is from RNAcentral. Lineage: Bacteria; Bacillati; Bacillota; Bacilli; Caryophanales; Listeriaceae.